GAUGAACGCUGGCGGCGUGCCUAAUACAUGCAAGUCGAGCGAACAGACGAGGAGCUUGCUCCUUUGACGUUAGCGGCGGACGGGUGAGUAACACGUGGAUAACCUACCUAUAAGACUGGGAUAACUUCGGGAAACCGGCGCUAAUACCGGAUAACAUGUUGAACCGCAUGGUUCAACAGUGAAAGACGGUUUUGCUGUCACUUAUAGAUGGAUCCGCGCCGCAUUAGCUAGUUGGUAAGGUAACGGCUUACCAAGGCAACGAUGCGUAGCCGACCUGAGAGGGUGAACGGCCACACUGGAACUGAGACACGGUCCAGACUCCGACGGGAGGCAGCAGUAGGGAAUCUUCCGCAAUGGGCGAAAGCCUGACGGAGCAACGCCGCGUGAGUGAAGAAGGUCUUCGGAUCGUAAAACUCUGUUAUAGGGAAGAACAAAUGUGUAAGUAAAUAUGCACGUCUUGACGGUACCUAAUCAGAAAGCCACGGCUAACUACGUG
This 496-nucleotide ribosomal RNA is filed under the name uncultured bacterium. Its description in RNAcentral is "partial 16S ribosomal RNA". It matches the Rfam family "Bacterial small subunit ribosomal RNA", at positions 28 to 507 of the family's 1533-position model. The record is from RNAcentral.